RNAcentral lists this ribosomal RNA (460 nucleotides) under uncultured bacterium. RNAcentral's name for it is "partial 16S ribosomal RNA". It matches the Rfam family "Bacterial small subunit ribosomal RNA", at positions 338 to 795 of the family's 1533-position model. The record is from RNAcentral.
CCUACGGGAGACUGCAGUGAGGAAUAUUGGUCAAUGGACGAGAGUCUGAACCAGCCAAGUAGCGUGAAGGAUGACUGCCCUAUGGGUUGUAAACUUCUUUUAUAUGGGAAUAAAAUGUUCCACGUGUGGGAUUUAGUAUGUACCAUAUGAAUAAGGAUCGACUAACUCCGUGCCAGCAGCCGCGGUAAUACGGAGGGUCCGAGCGUUAUCCGGAUUUCUUGGGUUUAAAGGGAGCGUAGGUGGAUUGUUAAGUCAGUUGUGAAAGUUUGGGGCUCAACCGUAAAAUUGCAGUUGAAACUGGCAGUCUUGAGUACAGUAGAGGUGGGCGGAAUUCGUGGUGUAGCGGUGAAAUGCGUAGAUAUCACGAAGAACUCCGAUUGCGAAGGCAGCUCACUGGACUGCAACUGACACUGAGGCUCGAAAGUGUGGGGAUCAAACAGGAUUAGAUACCCUGGUAGGC